GAUCCUGGGAUGCAUCUUGUGCAGUUAUGUUUCAAUCUCACAUCACUGGGCAAAGUGUGUCUCAAGAUC
Drosophila melanogaster (fruit fly) is the source of this 69-nucleotide non-coding RNA. Its record names the gene mir-3. NCBI's taxonomy places the organism in Eukaryota, Metazoa, Arthropoda, Insecta, Diptera, Drosophilidae. The record is from Ensembl.